Non-coding RNA from Pelobates cultripes (western spadefoot toad), 334 nucleotides. Lineage: Eukaryota; Metazoa; Chordata; Amphibia; Anura; Pelobatidae. The record is from the annotation of a GenBank genome assembly.
CGCGGAGAAGGGCAAGACGAAACCCCAAGCAACCUGACCUACCUCCCCGCACCAACCCGAAAGGGCCGACCCUGGACCACGAAGGUUCCCAGGCUCGUGGCCUACGAGCGCCAGCUCCCACACAGCUCCGGGGCAAGAGGGGAUUCCCGCAACUGAGACACUAUGGCACUACCCAGAUGAGACGGAACUCAAGCGUGAGGCCCAAACCUGAACGGCAGCAGACAACUAGAGGUCACCGGGCCUGCAGCGAUAAGACUAACAUUCUGGCACAAGCUCGAGGGAUGAACUCCCCCAUCGCCAUUACAGCCCUAAGUGACUGCCUAGAUGUCUCCAU